Anopheles arabiensis is the source of this 1728-nucleotide long non-coding RNA. RefSeq lists it as uncharacterized. The record is from RefSeq and is a predicted model, not a curated record. The transcript is spliced from 2 exons. Lineage: Eukaryota; Metazoa; Arthropoda; Insecta; Diptera; Culicidae.
CCCUCCGAAAGGGUGUGUGUUGGCGCCAGCGAGAGUGUGCCAGAGUGUUUUUUUUGUAGGUCGUGGCGUAGAUUUUGGCUGAAUUUUGAACAAUGGAAGGGACUUGGAGAAGCGGGGAAGAGAGUUUCGACGAAUAAUGCACCUUUACGAUCUUGAAGCCAACUAUCCAACGGCCUCCCCUUGGGGGGGAUUUUGUUGACGUGGUUUACUACGGGUGGAUUGUCCACCAAUUUAAAUACUCAACCCUUCCAACACCCAUUACACACCCUUGCCAACCACCCGCGCUCCGUUCCAUCCGGCCACCCGGGCUCAGAGUAGAGAUAAUCGUUUUGUUUUGAUACUCGACCAUGGGGGCCCGCUCUAACCCGCCCGCUCGGUGUCGUUGGCGGUCGAUGGUCAGUUUGUAUUUGCAUGGUUUUGCAUCGCUUUUUUUGCUUGAGUACGUGUGUACUGAUCGGACGAAGAAACCCUUAACAGAGGAUGAGCAGUGUGAGCCGCGCCCUCUACAUGCGUUGCUGCCUGAUGGCCCCUUGUCACCCAACAAAGAACGGGUACUCCCCAGGGUUGCAUAAUGGCGCGUGGGGAGUACUUUUUGAUAGCAAACCAAACUAGAGUCACGGGGUUUCCCCCCGUCGAUAGGGGGCUUUUUCGUCGCGCCAGAAGGCGUCUGUCAUCUGCCACCGAUGGGCGUCGAUUAUCCAAUUUGGCUCAACCCCAGGUCUGCUAUCGUAAAUAAACCACAAACCACGUUACUACUACUUCGCGACGAGCCACGAUUCGCCAUUCACUUGUGAUCGCAGGCCCGAGAACUUUGUUUACUAUACUACUUCUUGAGCAAAGAAAAAAGAGUGAGUGAGAGAGAGAGAGAACCUUCCUGAUCUCUGGGGUGGUUAAGUGAAUGCAACCCAACCGGCACGCCGCUGUUGCUAUGCAAAAGCAACGCAAAACUGCAGCACAAACCGGUGCUCGAUUGCAAACCCGAUAGCUUUCCAAUGUGUGUCGAAACGAUCGUCCGCCGCCCGGUACCAACACAAAGAGAUCUGCGAUCUUGAGCGAUCGCUUGUAGACGCGACCCAGGCGAUCGUACAUUUUCUUACCCCAUUCUCUUUUUCUCUAACAGCACACACAUACACGGUCAGAUGCGAUGGUUAAAAAUAGCACAGGAAAAAAACAUACACGCCGGACGUGAGCAGCCGGCACAGAGGGUUUAUUUUUGGCACAAUCGCGUUAAUACCGAGAGAGAUUGCUAAAGCCAGGAGGAUCCGAGCAUGUUUGCCCGCCAAAACAAUAUCCACCUACUCUGAGAAAUUCCGGAGGUCUCCCGUCUCCUCAGCAUGUCUAUUUUUCGUGUUUUGUAAUCGGUGACCAGUGGUUCGUUGUCGUUUCGUGAGAUAGAAUACAAGAUAUUCACUGUAAUGAGUUGGCCCCGGGGAAAGACCUUCCACACGUACAGCACACACCUUUUUCAAGAUUGGUGACUAGAGAACCUCUCUAUGUGUGGAUGCCGUCGGAUGCAGUCAGAUGAAACGAAGAUGUUAGACGAGGUCGUUUCGCUAUGACUGACUGCAUCGUUCGACCUCAAUCGCCCACCGGACAAAGUCCAACGCUUCACACAUACGUCUCUGGACCCUUGCGAUAUAUCUUGGUGAGGACGGACGAUUGACAGGUUGUCGCUGUGUCAAACAAAAACGGAAUUCACGAACUCAAUUAAAAAAAAAUUAUCAAAAA